AGUGGACGCUGGCGGUAGGCCUAACACAUGCAAGUCGAACGGCAGCACAGUAAGAGCUUGCUCUUACGGGUGGCGAGUGGCGGACGGGUGAGGAAUACAUCGGAAUCUACUUUUUCGUGGGGGAUAACGUAGGGAAACUUACGCUAAUACCGCAUACGACCUACGGGUGAAAGCAGGGGAUCUUCGGACCUUGCGCGAUUGAAUGAGCCGAUGUCGGAUUAGCUAGUUGGCGGGGUAAAGGCCCACCAAGGCGACGAUCCGUAGCUGGUCUGAGAGGAUGAUCAGCCACACUGGAACUGAGACACGGUCCAGACUCCUACGGGAGGCAGCAGUGGGGAAUAUUGGACAAUGGGCGCAAGCCUGAUCCAGCCAUACCGCGUGGGUGAAGAAGGCCUUCGGGUUGUAAAACCCUUUUGUUGGGAAAGAAAAGCAGCAGGUUAAUACCCCGCUGUUCUGACGGUACCCAAAGAAUAAGCACCGGCUAACUUCGUG
RNAcentral lists this ribosomal RNA (492 nucleotides) under uncultured bacterium. RNAcentral describes it as "partial 16S ribosomal RNA". It matches the Rfam family "Bacterial small subunit ribosomal RNA", at positions 29 to 507 of the family's 1533-position model. The record is from RNAcentral.